RNAcentral lists this ribosomal RNA (472 nucleotides) under uncultured bacterium. Its description in RNAcentral is "bacterial SSU rRNA". It matches the Rfam family "Bacterial small subunit ribosomal RNA", at positions 355 to 825 of the family's 1533-position model. The record is from RNAcentral.
UGGGGAAUUUUGGACAAUGGGUGCAACCCUGAUCCAGCAAUGCCGCGUGAGUGAAGAAGGCCUUCGGGUUGUAAAGCUCUUUUGUCAGGGAAGAAACGGUAGUAGCGAAUAACUAUUACUAAUGACGGUACCUGAAGAAUAAGCACCGGCUAACUACGUGCCAGCAGCCGCGGUAAUACGUAGGGUGCAAGCGUUAAUCGGAAUUACUGGGCGUAAAGCGUGCGCAGGCGGUUGUGUAAGUCAGAUGUGAAAUCCCCGGGCUCAACCUGGGAAUUGCAUUUGAGACUGCACGGCUAGAGUGUGUCAGAGGGGGGUAGAAUUCCACGUGUAGCAGUGAAAUGCGUAGAUAUGUGGAGGAAUACCGAUGGCGAAGGCAGCCCCCUGGGAUAACACUGACGCUGAGACGCGAAAGCGUGGGGAGCAAACAGGAUUAGAUACCCUGGUAGUCCCUGAGCGGGCUGGCAAGGCGCAU